Molecule: transfer RNA, 73 nt
Filed under: Ailuropoda melanoleuca (giant panda)
Lineage: Eukaryota; Metazoa; Chordata; Mammalia; Carnivora; Ursidae
Rfam family: tRNA
About the family: Transfer RNA (tRNA) molecules are approximately 80 nucleotides in length.
Source: Rfam by way of RNAcentral
GCCUGGCUGGCUCAGCUGGUGGAGCACGUGACUCUUGAUCUUGGGGUUGUGAGUUCGAGCCCCACGUUGGGUG